AGCAUAUCAAUAAGCGGAGGAAAAGAAACCAACAGGGAUUGCCUCAGUAACGGCGAGUGAAGCGGCAACAGCUCAAAUUUGAAAUCUGGCUCUUUCAGGGUCCGAGUUGUAAUUUGUAGAAGAUGCUUCGGGUGUGGCUCCGGUCUAAGUUCCUUGGAACAGGACGUCAUAGAGGGUGAGAAUCCCGUAUGUGACUGGGUGCCUUCGCUCAUGUGAAGCUCUUUCGACGAGUCGAGUUGUUUGGGAAUGCAGCUCAAAAUGGGUGGUAAAUUUCAUCUAAAGCUAAAUAUUGGCCAGAGACCGAUAGCGCACAAGUAGAGUGAUCGAAAGAUGAAAAGCACUUUGGAAAGAGAGUUAAACAGUACGUGAAAUUGUUGAAAGGGAAGCGCUUGCAACCAGACUUGCACGCGGUUGAUCAUCCGGUGUUCUCACCGGUGCACUCUGCCGCGUUCAGGCCAGCAUCGGUUUUGGUGGUUGGAUAAAGGCCUAGGGAAUGUAGCUUCUUUCGGGGAGUGUUAUAGCCCUAGGUGCAAUGCAGCCUACUAGGACCGAGGACCGCGCUUCGGCUAGGAUGCUGGCGUAAUGGUUGUAAGCGACCCGUCUUGAAACACGGACCAAGGAGUCUAACAUCUAUGCGAGUGUUUGGGUGUCAAACCCAUACGCGUAAUGAAAGUGAACGGAGGUGAGAACCCUUAAGGGUGCAUCAUCGACCGAUCCUGAUGUCUUCGGAUGGAUUUGAGUAAGAGCAUAGCUGUUGGGACCCGAAAGAUGGUGAACUAUGCGUGAAUAGGGUGAAGCCAGAGGAAACUCUGGUGGAGGCUCGCAGCGGUUCUGACGUGCAAAUCGAUCGUCAAAUUUGCGCAUAGGGGCGAAAGACUAAUCGAA
This 885-nucleotide ribosomal RNA is filed under the name Polyphilus sieberi. Its description in RNAcentral is "eukaryotic LSU rRNA". It matches the Rfam family "Eukaryotic large subunit ribosomal RNA", at positions 37 to 939 of the family's 3401-position model. The record is from RNAcentral. Lineage: Eukaryota; Fungi; Ascomycota; Leotiomycetes; Helotiales.